GGAAUCCUCCACAAUGGACGCAAGUCUGAUGGAGCAACGCCGCGUGAGUGAAGAAGGGUUUCGGCUCGUAAAACACUGUUGUAAGAGAAGAAUGACAUUGAGAGUAACUGUUCAAUGUGUGACGGUAUCUUACCAGAAAGGAACGGCUAAAUAACGUGCCAG
RNAcentral lists this ribosomal RNA (162 nucleotides) under uncultured bacterium. Its description in RNAcentral is "partial 16S ribosomal RNA". It matches the Rfam family "Bacterial small subunit ribosomal RNA", at positions 358 to 511 of the family's 1533-position model. The record is from RNAcentral.